UUGUCCUAUUCACAGCCUCUGGUGGAGCCCGUAUGCAGGAAGGAAUCAUGAGUCUCAUGCAGAUGGCUAAGAUCUCUGCGGCGGUUAAACGUCAUUCAAAUGCUGGUCUCUUUUACCUGACCAUUUUGACAGAUCCAACGACUGGUGGUGUGACAGCUUCUUUCGCUAUGGAAGGCGAUAUCAUUCUGGCUGAACCACAGAGCUUGGUUGGUUUUGCUGGGCGUCGUGUGAUUGAAAAUACGGUUCGUGAAAGCUUGCCUGAGGAUUUCCAAAAGGCAGAAUUCCUAUUAGAACAUGGCUUUGUGGAUGCUAUUGUCAAAAGAAGAGACUUACCAGAUACGAUUGCUAGCCUAGUCAGAUUGCAUGGAGGGAGUCCUAGAUGAAUAUUGCAAAAAUAGUCAGAGAAGCGCGUGAGCAGAGUCGCUUGACAACCUUGGAUUUUGCGACAGGCAUUUUUGAUGAAUUUAUCCAAUUACAUGGUGACCGUUCUUUUCGUGAUGAUGGUGCAGUUGUUGGUGGUAUUGGUUGGCUUGGAGAUCAAGCUGUAACAGUGGUUGGUAUCCAAAAAGGCAAGAGUUUGCAAGACAACCUCAAACGGAAUUUUGGCCAACCACAUCCAGAAGGCUACCGAAAGGCACUGCGGUUGAUGAAACAGGCUGAGAAAUUUGGCCGUCCAGUUGUGACCUUUAUCAAUACAGCAGGUGCUUAUCCUGGUGUCGGAGCGGAAGAACGUGGUCAAGGGGAAGCUAUCGCUCGCAAUCUCAUGGAAAUGAGUGACCUGAAAGUUCCUAUUAUCGCCAUUAUUAUCGGUGAAGGUGGUUCAGGCGGGGCUCUGGCUCUAGCUGUCGCGGACCGUGUCUGGAUGCUGGAAAAUUCUAUCUAUGCCAUUCUCAGUCCAGAAGGCUUUGCUUCCAUUUUAUGGAAGGACGGUACUCGCGCUAUGGAAGCAGCAGAACUGAUGAAAAUCACUUCGCAUGAACUGUUAGAAAUGGACGUGGUGGAUAAGGUGAUUUCUGAAAUAGGACUUUCUAGUAAAGAACUGAUUAAGAGUGUCAAAAAAGAACUCCAAACGGAGCUGGCUAGACUUUCACAAAAACCGCUAGAAGAGUUGCUGGAAGAACGCUAUCAACGAUUUAGAAAAUACUAAGAAUGAGGCUCUUUGUCAACUGUAGUGGGUUGAAAAAAAGCUAAGCUUGAGAAAGGACAAAUUUCGUCCUUUCUUUUUUGAUAUUCAGGGCGAUAAAAAUCCGUUUUUUGAAGUUUUCAAAGUUCCGAAAACCAAAGGCAUUGCGCUUGAUAAGUUUGAUGAGAUUAUUGGUCGCUUCCANGGACCUAAGGAGAGACCGAAAGGUGUAUCCGAUGGACAACAGGUUGAUAUUCCUGUACUAGAGUAUGUAGUGAUGGAGGGACGCAGUAGGCUAACUAAAGCAGACGAUUGGAAGAGUCUGUCUAAGCAGUGAGGUGUGAUAUGAGUCAAAUGCUUAUAUCUGUAACAUUGAGCUGUGAUGGGGAGCGAAGUUUAGUAGCGAAGUUAGUGACGUCACACUGCCAAGAAAAGCUUCUAGCGUUUAAACAUACUCUACCCGUACCGCAAACCGACACAGGUAGUCGAGGCGAGUAGCCUCAGGUGAGCGAGAGAACUCUCGUUAAGGAACUCGGCAAAAUGACCCCGUAACUUCGGGAGAAGGGGUGCUGACUUUAAGUCAGCCGCAGUGAAUAGGCCCAAGCAACUGUUUAUCAAAAACACAGCUCUCUGCUAAAUCGUAAGAUGAUGUAUAGGGGGUGACGCCUGCCCGGUGCUGGAAGGUUAAGAGGAGUGCUUAGCGUAAGCGAAGGUAUGAAUUGAAGCCCCAGUAAACGGCGGCCGUAACUAUAACGGUCCUAAGGUAGCGAAAUUCCUUGUCGGGUAAGUUCCGACCCGCACGAAAGGCGUAAUGAUUUGGGCACUGUCUCAACGAGAGACUCGGUGAAAUUUUAGUACCUGUGAAGAUGCAGGUUACCCGCGACAGGACGGAAAGACCCCAUGGAGCUUUACUGCAGUUUGAUAUUGAGUGUCUGUACCACAUGUACAGGAUAGGUAGGAGUCUAAGAGAUCGGGACGCCAGUUUCGAAGGAGACGCUGUUGGGAUACUACCCUUGUGUUAUGGCCACUCUAACCCAGAUAGGUGAUCCCUAUCGGAGACAGUGUCUGACGGGCAGUUUGACUGGGGCGGUCGCCUCCUAAAAGGUAACGGAGGCGCCCAAAGGUUCCCUCAGAAUGGUUGGAAAUCAUUCGCAGAGUGUAAAGGUAUAAGGGAGCUUGACUGCGAGAGCUACAACUCGAGCAGGGACGAAAGUCGGGCUUAGUGAUCCGGUGGUUCCGUAUGGAAGGGCCAUCGCUCAACGGAUAAAAGCUACCCUGGGGAUAACAGGCUUAUCUCCCCCAAGAGUUCACAUCGACGGGGAGGUUUGGCACCUCGAUGUCGGCUCGUCGCAUCCUGGGGCUGUAGUCGGUCCCAAGGGUUGGGCUGUUCGCCCAUUAAAGCGGCACGCGAGCUGGGUUCAGAACGUCGUGAGACAGUUCGGUCCCUAUCCGUCGCGGGCGUAGGAAAUUUGAGAGGAUCUGCUCCUAGUACGAGAGGACCAGAGUGGACUUACCGCUGGUGUACCAGUUGUCUUGCCAAAGGCAUCGCUGGGUAGCUAUGUAGGGAAGGGAUAAACGCUGAAAGCAUCUAAGUGUGAAACCCACCUCAAGAUGAGAUUUCCCAUGAUUAUAUAUCAGUAAGAGCCCUGAGAGAUGAUCAGGUAGAUAGGUUAGAAGUGGAAGUGUGGCGACACAUGUAGCGGACUAAUACUAAUAGCUCGAGGACUUAUCCAA
This 2857-nucleotide ribosomal RNA is filed under the name Streptococcus pneumoniae. RNAcentral describes it as "bacterial LSU rRNA". The stretch from base 1148 to 2857 matches the Rfam family "Bacterial large subunit ribosomal RNA". Lineage: Bacteria; Bacillati; Bacillota; Bacilli; Lactobacillales; Streptococcaceae. The record is from RNAcentral.